Molecule: transfer RNA, 90 nt
Filed under: Magnetococcales bacterium
Lineage: Bacteria; Pseudomonadati; Pseudomonadota; Magnetococcia; Magnetococcales
Description: tRNA-Ser
Rfam family: tRNA
About the family: Transfer RNA (tRNA) molecules are approximately 80 nucleotides in length. Their secondary structure includes four short double-helical elements and three loops (D, anti-codon, and T loops). Further hydrogen bonds mediate the characteristic L-shaped molecular structure. tRNAs have two regions of fundamental functional importance: the anti-codon, which is responsible for specific mRNA codon recognition, and the 3' end, to which the tRNAs corresponding amino acid is attached (by aminoacyl-tRNA synthetases). tRNAs cope with the degeneracy of the genetic code in two manners: having more than one tRNA (with a specific anti-codon) for a particular amino acid; and 'wobble' base-pairing, i.e. permitting non-standard base-pairing at the 3rd anti-codon position.
Source: RNAcentral
GGAGAGAUGGCCGAGUGGCCGAAGGCGGCACCCUGCUAAGGUGUUAUAUCCUAACGGGUAUCGAGGGUUCGAAUCCCUCUCUCUCCGCCA